Macaca mulatta (Rhesus monkey) is the source of this 1636-nucleotide long non-coding RNA. RefSeq lists it as uncharacterized. The record is from RefSeq and is a predicted model, not a curated record. Lineage: Eukaryota; Metazoa; Chordata; Mammalia; Primates; Cercopithecidae.
CUGCAGCUUCAGCUGUGCAACAAGCUGGUGGCACUCCAGGCCACACUGGAGAAGCCCCAGGAGGGCUUGGAGUUUGCCUACAUGGCCCUAGCACUCAGCAUCACUCUGGGUAAGUCCCCUGAGCCCCCACCCUGCCAGGACCCACACUUUGCCAGAGCCCAGCCUCCAGGUCUGCAGGCCAGGAGCUGAAACAGCUGCUGGAUUUUCCUGGUCUCCUGUCCAGGCAGGCAGAUCUGCCCAACGGGCUUCCCCGUCCGGCUGUGGGGCACAGCCCAAGGUCUCUCACGCAGUGCAGAGCUCCCUGCCUGCCUGAGCUCUGCUUCCUCUGCCUGUUCCUGCUGCUGACCACAAGGGCCGCCCAGUGUGCCCUCUGCCUUCCAGACAUGCCAGGCAUCUCAUUGGUCCCUGUGCCAGGCUGAGUGGCACAUUCCCUUUCUCUUGUGCCCUUCCCACCAUCAUCAACCACACAGCUCUCUGGCUGAUAAAAUCCCAGUUCCCCUUCCAGCAGUCUGCCCCUUAAGGCCGGGCAUCCCCUGGUGCUGUGCCAGGGUCGUCUGUCCCCCUCCAGAGACAGGGAACCCUAGGCAGGCCACAUGCCCCAGCGCCUUGUGCCCCGUGGCCCAUUACACAGUAGGUGUGCAGCUGACUCCCCAAGGUAGGGGGCUCUGAUCGUGCCACACCCAGGAGGAGUCGGAUGUCACGUCUGUGGGUUGCCUGGAGCCGGGGAGCCCAGGAGCACCUGGACUGCAUGGCUUUUGGGUUCUCCUGGUUAAAACCAGUGAGCAAAGGCAGGUGGCUCUGUGUAGACACAGAACUGGGCCAUCCAAGUCCGACUUUCCAAAGCCUCACAGUAGACAGGGGCAGGCCUUAUUAGUUCUGCUUUGCACAUGGGAAAGUGAGUCUGGGAACCUGGAAGGGACUGGCCAGAGCUGCCCAGGUGACCACAGGUGCCUGGAGGCAAGCCAGGCAUGCAGCCCGGGGUCUGCAUACCUGCUCCUGAGGGGCCUGAGCCCUCCCUGCCCCAGGGAGCCACGUCCUCACACCUGCACCUUUGGCCUGCACCCAGGGGACCAGUGAACGAGCGCAUGGCCUACCACGGCUGGCCGCCCUGCACCACCGGCUGAGCCAUGGCAAGCUGGUGGAGCACUUCUACCUCAAGGCCCUGUAGCUCUGCAACUCGCUGCUGGAGUUCGACGAGGAGACCGUCUAUUACGUGAACAUGUAUCUGGUGCUCGGUGACAUCAUCUUCUAUGACCUGAAGGACCCGUUUGAUGCAGCCGGGUACUACCAGCUGGCCCUGGCAGCCGCCAUGGACCUGGGCAACAAGAAGGGCACAGCUGAAGACCUACACGUGGCCGGCCACCAUCUCCCACAACUUCCUCCUGGACCGUGAGAAGUUUAUCCUCUUCUACCAGAAGGCCAGGACCUUCACCACAGAGCUCAACAUCCGCAGGGUCAACCUACCUCCUCUGCCACUCUGCGGGUGGGCCCCCUGGUUGGCCCUCAGCCACCCUCGCUGAGGACAGCAUCCAAGGGAAUGGGUUUUGUGCAAGGAGGAUGGUCUCCUGCCUCUCCUGGUGUCUCCGUGGCUCAUUUUCUGGGAAAUGGAGGCAUGAAAGCAGGGUUCAAAUAGCAA